This is a long non-coding RNA of Pungitius pungitius (ninespine stickleback), 269 nucleotides long. RefSeq lists it as uncharacterized. The transcript is spliced from 4 exons. The record is from RefSeq and is a predicted model, not a curated record. NCBI's taxonomy places the organism in Eukaryota, Metazoa, Chordata, Actinopteri, Perciformes, Gasterosteidae.
CAGGUCUUCACAGUGUCUUCACUGCAGCUCUGAUGCUGCUGGACCCCGACUGAUCACUUCAGGAUGUUGAGCUGGGUGGUCAAGGUCGUUCCUCAGCUGCCUCAGCCUUCAACAGUGGGAGAGCAGAAAAAGAUGAAUCCAGACACGCCUCUUCCCACAACCACAUUUUGUGUCACGGAAAGGAAAGUUACAUUUCAAGAUGAGUGCAAAAAUGAAGCUCAGAAAACUAACAAGCUCGAGCAAGAGGAUCCGGCAACAGAAGAAUAUAA